UUUUACGACCCUCCACCAAGUGUGGAAAAGCUCGAAACACAUCCAAUCACUCGAACCUCGCAAUUUGCAAAUAUCCAGUGUGUUACAGUAAAUCUCGGUGUGAUUUUUAUUUUCCGCAUUUAUUUUUUUCGCAUUGAGAUUUAUGCUUUUUGGUUAUUACACCUAUUCACCCCCUCUAGGUGUUAGAUACAAUCUAAAUAGAUUCUCAGGCUCCUUUAAAACUUUCAAAAUUAUAGAAAAACCCCCAGUCAAAAUCCGAUUUUUUUACUUUCCCUCCCUGUCAUUUAAAAAUCUACACUUUGCCCCCUUGUAAAAUGAAAAAUGUUCACAGGGGGUACGGUGUGAACUAUAAUGAUAAAAUAACCAUUUUGCCCUCACCAUUUUGCCCCUCAUCUUGUUCACAGGAGAGAAGACUGAGGGCAUUUUUGGCAUAAAAAAUAUUUAAUAAUAUUUUAUAAACGAAACCCUAACGGAUUACUAACGGCAGGGGGUGAAGUGAAUAUUUUUUAUUUUACAAGGGUGCAAAGUGUAAGUUUUUAAAUGACAGCGGGGUAAGUGUAAAAUCGGAUUUUGACAGGGAAGUUUUAUGUAUUUUAGUCAAAAUUUUAUUAUUAAAAAAGUAAAGCAAAAUAUACAAUUUUUCCUUUUUUGGUAAUAUUCCAAUUCAACUGUAUACACCUGUUUGGCUUGGUUGGAGAAGUAAUUUAUAAAGAAUUGAUUUUAGUUUGGAGAAUUAAUUUUAGUUAAAAUUGUACAGUAUUUGGUUGAAUUUAGUAGGAAAGUGAUAUUUCUGAAGUGAUUUUGUAAAGUUAUUUCACAAAUUUUUAUUUACUAUUUGCAAUUUUUUUUUACUAAAUUUUAUUUUAAAAUUUAAAAUUAAAAUAUAAAAUAUAAAAUAUGAACUAAAAUUUAAAGUUGAUAUUUGAAUUUAAAUUUAAAUUUUAAAAUUUAAAAUUUGGUAUUUAGAAUUUAAAAUUAAAUUUAAAAUUAAAUUUUAAUUUCUAAUUUGAGUCUAAAAUUAAAAUCAAAUUUUAGGGACUAGAUUUAACCUACUUCUGAGUUUGGAGGCUUUGUUAGAAAAGUAAUUCUAAAAAUUAAAAUCAUAUUUUUAAAAGAGGUGACAAAAUGCUAGGGGUGUAAACGGAUCGGAUAUGGUCAGAUAUUUGAUGAAACCAUAUCCGCAUCCAUAUAUAUAUUUUUUUGAUACGAAUAUGUGUUGGAUGCUAAAUUUUUAUUAUCAUAUAUGCUAAAAACGGAUUCGGAUAUAAUCGAAUAUUUUUCGAAUUCGAAUAUGGAUCAGAUAUAUAUUCCGUUAAUAAUAAACAUUAACAUUUUACUUUACUUUCCUAUACGAUUUUUCCUAAUUAUAUUUUUUUCACAUAUAAAUAUGUAAUUUUAAUAUAUAACUCAUUAUAAAAUAAAUGAAUAACACGAGAAAUCACCUUAUUUUUUCACAAGAUGUAUUAAUCAUCCCUUGGUAUCUUGAUUGGUAAUGAAUUAGAUGAGUAAACAAGAGAGAUCAACUAUAGAGGUAAGGAAUUUGGGCAGGCCGGGAAUUUGGGCGGGCCGGGCAGGCGAAAUUGGGCCGGGGGAUCUAUUUCCCCUUUUUCGGAUAUUCGGAAAAAUUUAACUCCCUAAAACUAUAUCCUUAUUUGUAUACGGCCGAAUCUGGUUAUUUUUUAUUUGGAUAAAGAUAUUAUUAAAUACAGGUGCAAUUAUUUUCGAAUAAUAUCCGAUCCGUUCUCACCCCUACUAAACACUUUAUUAAAAAAAAUCAUAUAUAUUUAGCAAAUUACAUCACUUUUUUUUAAAAAAUAAUAUAAUAAAAAUAUUUUUUAAAAAAAUUAUGAUGAAAUGGAUAAAUUUUAGACAAACAAGUCGAUCAUCUGGAGAUACCACAUUACUAAUGUGAUUACUACGGUAGAAAAAAGAAAAUCUAAAAUGCACCAAUUAUAUUGCUGAUGUGGUCUUUCCAACCAACUAAAUUAAUUUUCUUAGAUUCACUCGUUGAUUAUUAGAAAAAUAUUUUUAUUAUAUUUUUUUCUAAUAUAGAAAUAUGAUUGAAUAAUUAUUAAUAAUAUGAUGUAUGUGUUAUAUAAGAGACUUACGUAAUUUAGGACUUUUUUAUAAAAUAAUCAUCUAACAUUUUAUAAUUUACGAAAUAACCCUGCCAAAUUUCUUUUAAAAACGGUGAAUCGUUCACCCCGUUCUCUAAUUUCUUUUAAAUGCGGCGAAUUUUUUACCGCUUUCUCCUAUUUUUUUUAAAUCGGUGAAUCGCUCGCCAUAUUCAUUAAAAUUGUGCGUAUAUUAUAAAGGAAAUAGAAAAAAGUGAGAUUAUUAAGAUUAUAUGUGGAUCAUUAGAAUUUUUAUCUGAAUAUUAGGGUUGUAUAGAUAGAUUAUUAGGAUUUUUCAGGCUGUUGAGAUUAUAUGAAAUUAUAUAGAUACAUUUUUAGGAUUUUUUUAAAAUUAUAUGAAAUUAUAUGGAUAGAUUAUUAAGAUUUUCAGAUUAUUUGAAUUUUUAGGUUGUUAAGAUUAUAUGUAAUUUGUUAAAAUUUUUAUGUGGUUGUUAGAAUUAUAUGUAAGAUAAAGAAAGAAACAGUAAAUAAACGAAAGGGUGGUGAAUAAUUUAUUGACUUUGUGAAAAAUAAGGAAGGUGGUGAAUCGUUUAUCGUAUUUAAUAAGACUCGGCGAAAAUAGGGAUUGUUUUACAAAUUUUAAAAUUUUAAAAUUUUAAAGAGUUGUUUUAUAAAAAAAAUGUC
RNAcentral lists this long non-coding RNA (2759 nucleotides) under Ananas comosus (pineapple). Its description in RNAcentral is "long non-coding RNA (ACOM_LNC012012)". The record is from RNAcentral. Lineage: Eukaryota; Viridiplantae; Streptophyta; Magnoliopsida; Poales; Bromeliaceae.